Molecule: long non-coding RNA, 612 nt
Filed under: Erythranthe guttata (spotted monkey flower)
Lineage: Eukaryota; Viridiplantae; Streptophyta; Magnoliopsida; Lamiales; Phrymaceae
Description: long non-coding RNA (EGUT_LNC002004)
Source: RNAcentral
UUAAGUGUAUAUUUAUACACUUAAUUGUACCUUUUAAUUGGAGCUUUUGAUGUGUUUUUACGAUAAUUGGUGCUUAAUUUGGUUAUUAUUUGUAUUUUAGGGACAAAUUGAAGAAUUGGAAAAGUAUGGGGUCAAAACUGCAAUUUUGGAGAAAAUAUGGGCCAAAAGUGAAAAAAUCAAAAUUCUGAAGAUUUAAAGCUCGGACCCCCGUCCCAGUUUUAGUGCAAAUCGUGGGACCCCCGUCCGAGACUCCGAAAUUGCGUAGAAAAGGGAUUUUAAUUGCACAAGGAAACUGCCUUCUUCCCCAAGUUCUUCACCCUAUAUAAGACCAAGUCAGGCACACAAUUGGGGGGUCUCUUUUCGAUCUUUUACCUUUUAUUUUUAUUUGGAGUUUUUAUCUUUUCUACACGCAAUCGAGGAGCAAGAGAACGAAGACGAAGACUUGACGAAUCUUCAUCCUAGUUUCCCUUUUCCUUUUCUUUUCUGAUUUUUAUGAAUUUCCGUAUUUUUAUUAUGCUUUUCGUUACGAACAUGAGCAGCUAAGUUUUUAUUCUAGGAUUUUAUUGGAACCCUAUGUGGUGAUUCGAACCUCUUAUUCGACUUUUAUGCAAG